This 436-nucleotide ribosomal RNA is filed under the name uncultured Alphaproteobacteria bacterium. RNAcentral's name for it is "bacterial SSU rRNA". It matches the Rfam family "Bacterial small subunit ribosomal RNA", at positions 9 to 489 of the family's 1533-position model. The record is from RNAcentral. Lineage: Bacteria; Pseudomonadati; Pseudomonadota; Alphaproteobacteria.
GAGUUUGAUCCUGGCUCAGAACGAACGCUGGCGGCAGGCUUAACACAUGCAAGUCGAGCGCCCCGCAAGGGGGAGCGGCAGACGGGUGAGUAACGCGUGGGAAUCUACCUAGCUCUACGGGAUAACCCAGGGAAACUUGGACUAAUACCGUAUACGCCCCCUCGGGGGGAAAGAUUUAUCGGAGUUGGAUGAGCCCGCGUUGGAUUAGCUAGUUGGUGGGGUAAUGGCCUACCAAGGCGACGAUCCAUAGCUGGUCUGAGAGGAUGAUCAGCCACACUGGGACUGAGACACGGCCCAGACUCCUACGGGAGGCAGCAGUGGGGAAUAUUGGACAAUGGGCGAAAAGCCUGAUCCAGCCAUGCCGCGUGAGUGAUGAAGGCCCUAGGGUUGUAAAGCUCUUUUACCGGUGAAGAUAAUGACGGUAACCGGAGAAGAA